UACGCUGGCGGCAGGCCUAACACAUGCAAGUCGAACGGUAGCACAGAGAGCUUGCUCUUGGGUGACGAGUGGCGGACGGGUGAGUAAUGUCUGGGAAACUGCCCGAUGGAGGGGGAUAACUACUGGAAACGGUAGCUAAUACCGCAUAACGUCGCAAGACCAAAGUGGGGGACCUUCGGGCCUCACACCAUCGGAUGUGCCCAGAUGGGAUUAGCUAGUUGGUGAGGUAAUGGCUCACCAAGGCGACGAUCCCUAGCUGGUCUGAGAGGAUGACCAGCCACACUGGAACUGAGACACGGUCCAGACUCCUACGGGAGGCAGCAGUGGGGAAUAUUGCACAAUGGGCGCAAGCCUGAUGCAGCCAUGCCGCGUGUAUGAAGAAGGCCUUCGGGUUGUAAAGUACUUUCAGCGAGGAGGAAGGCGUUGUGGUUAAUAACCGCAGCGAUUGACGUUACUCGCAGAAGAAGCACCGGCUAACUCCGUGCCAGCAGCCGCGGUAAUACGGAGGUGCAAGCGUUAAUCGGAAUUACUGGGCGUAAAGCGCACGCAGGCGGUCUGUCAAGUCGGAUGUGAAAUCCCCGGGCUCAACCUGGGAACUGCAUUCGAAACUGGCAGGCUAGAGUCUUGUAGAGGGGGGUAGAAUUCCAGGUGUAGCGGUGAAAUGCGUAGAGAUCUGGAGGAAUACCGGUGGCGAAGGCGGCCCCCUGGACAAAGACUGACGCUCAGGUGCGAAAGCGUGGGGAGCAAACAGGAUUAGAUACCCUGGUAGUCCACGCCGUAAACGAUGUCUAUUUGGAGGUUGUUCCCUUGAGGAGUGGCUUCCGGAGCUAACGCGUUAAAUAGACCGCCUGGGGAGUACGGCCGCAAGGUUAAAACUCAAAUGAAUUGACGGGGGCCCGCACAAGCGGUGGAGCAUGUGGUUUAAUUCGAUGCAACGCGAAGAACCUUACCUACUCUUGACAUCCAGAGAACUUAGCAGAGAUGCUUUGGUGCCUUCGGGAACUCUGAGACAGGUGCUGCAUGGCUGUCGUCAGCUCGUGUUGUGAAAUGUUGGGUUAAGUCCCGCAACGAGCGCAACCCUUAUCCUUUGUUGCCAGCGGUUCGGCCGGGAACUCAAAGGAGACUGCCAGUGAUAAACUGGAGGAAGGUGGGGAUGACGUCAAGUCAUCAUGGCCCUUACGAGUAGGGCUACACACGUGCUACAAUGGCAUAUACAAAGAGAAGCGACCUCGCGAGAGCAAGCGGACCUCAUAAAGUAUGUCGUAGUCCGGAUUGGAGUCUGCAACUCGACUCCAUGAAGUCGGAAUCGCUAGUAAUCGUAGAUCAGAAUGCUACGGUGAAUACGUUCCCGGGCCUUGUACACACCGCCCGUCACACCAUGGGAGUGGGUUGCAAAAGAAGUAGGUAGCUUAACCUUCGGGAGGGCGCUUACCACUU
RNAcentral lists this ribosomal RNA (1437 nucleotides) under Kluyvera ascorbata. RNAcentral describes it as "bacterial SSU rRNA". It matches the Rfam family "Bacterial small subunit ribosomal RNA". The record is from RNAcentral. Lineage: Bacteria; Pseudomonadati; Pseudomonadota; Gammaproteobacteria; Enterobacterales; Enterobacteriaceae. RNAcentral also lists the same sequence under 1 other name.